Ribosomal RNA from Thermoplasmatales archaeon I-plasma, 123 nucleotides. NCBI's taxonomy places the organism in Archaea, Methanobacteriati, Thermoplasmatota, Thermoplasmata, Thermoplasmatales. The record is from Rfam.
GUUGACGGCCAUAGCGACGGGGAAACACCCGGUCUCAUUCCGAACCCGAAGGUUAAGCCCGUCUGCGUUCCGCACGCGUACUGUGUUCCGCGAGGGCAUGGGAAAUGCGGUUCGCCGCCUCCA